RNAcentral lists this transfer RNA (71 nucleotides) under Stegodyphus mimosarum. It matches the Rfam family "tRNA". From Rfam's summary of the family: Transfer RNA (tRNA) molecules are approximately 80 nucleotides in length. Their secondary structure includes four short double-helical elements and three loops (D, anti-codon, and T loops). Further hydrogen bonds mediate the characteristic L-shaped molecular structure. tRNAs have two regions of fundamental functional importance: the anti-codon, which is responsible for specific mRNA codon recognition, and the 3' end, to which the tRNAs corresponding amino acid is attached (by aminoacyl-tRNA synthetases). tRNAs cope with the degeneracy of the genetic code in two manners: having more than one tRNA (with a specific anti-codon) for a particular amino acid; and 'wobble' base-pairing, i.e. permitting non-standard base-pairing at the 3rd anti-codon position. Lineage: Eukaryota; Metazoa; Arthropoda; Arachnida; Araneae; Eresidae. The record is from Rfam by way of RNAcentral.
GCCUUCGUGGUAUAACGGUAGCACACUCGGCGCGUAUUCGAGAGGUCCAGGUUCGAAUCCCGGCGAGGGCA